RNAcentral lists this ribosomal RNA (899 nucleotides) under uncultured Pseudomonadota bacterium. Its description in RNAcentral is "bacterial SSU rRNA". It matches the Rfam family "Bacterial small subunit ribosomal RNA", at positions 58 to 934 of the family's 1533-position model. Lineage: Bacteria; Pseudomonadati; Pseudomonadota. The record is from RNAcentral.
CAAGUCGAACGCGAAAGAAGCCUUCGGGUUUCAAGUAGAGUGGCGUCCGGGUGAGUAACACGUAGGUAAUCUACCUUCGGGUGGGGAAUAACGCAGGGAAACUUGCGCUAAUACCGCAUAAUGCAGCGGCACCACAUGGUGACAGUUGUUAAAGCGGGGGCUUUUCGGACCUCGCGCCUGAAGAGGAGCCUGCGGCAGAUUAGCUAGUUGGUAGGGUAACGGCUUACCAAGGCGACGAUCUGUAACCGGCCUGAGAGGGCGGUCGGUCACACUGACACUGACAUACGGGUCAGACUCCUACGGGAGGCAGCAGUCGGGAAUUUUGGGCAAUGGGCGAAAGCCUGACCCAGCAACGCCGCGUGAAGGAUGAAAUCCUUCGGGAUGUAAACUUCGCAAGAAUGGGAAGAAUGAGCGAGUACUAAUACUGCUCGUGAUGACGGUACCAUUUGUAAGCUCCGGCUAACUCCGUGCCAGCAGCCGCGGUAAUACGGGGGGAGCAAGCGUUGUUCGGAUUUACUGGGCGUAAAGGGCGCGUAGGCGGCCAGCGCAAGUCAGUUGUGAAAUCUCCGGGCUUAACUCGGAAAGGUCAACUGAUACUGCGCGGCUAGAGUGCAGAAGGGGCAACUGGAAUUCUCGGUGUAGCGGUGAAAUGCGUAGAUAUCGAGAGGAACACCUGCGGCGAAGGCGGGUUGCUGGGCUGACACUGACGCUGAUGCGCGAAAGCCAGGGGAGCGAACGGGAUUAGAUACCCCGGUAGUCCUGGCCUUAAACGAUGGAUGCUUGGUGUCUGGAGUUUUAUAGUCUCCGGGUGCCGUAGCUAACGCGUUAAGCAUCCCGCCUGGGGAGUACGGUCGCAAGACUGAAACUCAAAGGAAUUGACGGGGACCCGCACAGCGGUG